GAUGAACGCUAGCUACAGGCUAAACACAUGCAAGUCGAGGGGAAACGGCAUUUAGUGCCUGCACCGAAUGGACGUCGACCGGCGCACGGGUGAGUAACGCGUAUCCAACCUUCCCACAACUAAGGGAUAACCUGCCGAAAGGCAGACUAAUACCUUAUAUAAUCCUUUGAUGGCAUCAGAUAAGGAUAAAAGAUUUAUCGGUUAUGGAUGGGGAUGCGUCUGAUUAGCUUGUUGGCGGGGUAACGGCCCACCAAGGCAACGAUCAGUAGGGGUUCUGAGAGGAAGGUCCCCCACAUUGGAACUGAGACACGGUCCUAACUCCUACGGGAGGCAGCAGUGAGGAAUAUUGGUCAAUGGACGGAAGUCUGAACCAGCCAAGUAGCGUGCAGUAUGACGGCCCUAUGGGUUGUAAACUGCUUUUGUAUGGGGAUAAAGUCAAUCACGUGUGAUUGUUUGCAGGUACCAUACGAAUAAGGACCG
RNAcentral lists this ribosomal RNA (480 nucleotides) under Prevotella sp. oral taxon 306. Its description in RNAcentral is "bacterial SSU rRNA". It matches the Rfam family "Bacterial small subunit ribosomal RNA", at positions 28 to 495 of the family's 1533-position model. Lineage: Bacteria; Pseudomonadati; Bacteroidota; Bacteroidia; Bacteroidales; Prevotellaceae. The record is from RNAcentral.